AGAUUGCGCUUCGAGGCAUCCAGUGAUGAAGCUGCAUAGGGCAGAUUCUGAGCUGGGAGCUUCAGCUCCUGAACGCUGAUCUUCCAUUUAUGCUGUCUGAGGAUGCGGCUCUUUUU
Protobothrops mucrosquamatus (brown spotted pit viper) is the source of this 116-nucleotide small nucleolar RNA. RefSeq annotates it as small nucleolar RNA SNORD90. The record is from RefSeq and is a predicted model, not a curated record. The transcript has a single exon. NCBI's taxonomy places the organism in Eukaryota, Metazoa, Chordata, Lepidosauria, Squamata, Viperidae.